Molecule: non-coding RNA, 83 nt
Filed under: unclassified sequences
Description: skipping-rope RNA
Rfam family: skipping-rope RNA
About the family: Firmicutes, Fusobacteria, AlphaProteobacteria, Spirochaetes. Downstream gene
Source: RNAcentral
UCAAAAUGAGGACGGAGAAUGUCCCACCGUCGCCCCUUAUAAAAGGUAGGAGAUGUGGGAAUGGGGGACACCCACCGAUUUUU